RNAcentral lists this ribosomal RNA (432 nucleotides) under Kluyveromyces marxianus. RNAcentral's name for it is "eukaryotic LSU rRNA". The stretch from base 1 to 125 matches the Rfam family "5.8S ribosomal RNA", at positions 30 to 154 of the family's 154-position model. The record is from RNAcentral. Lineage: Eukaryota; Fungi; Ascomycota; Saccharomycetes; Saccharomycetales; Saccharomycetaceae.
GCAUCGAUGAAGAACGCAGCGAAUUGCGAUAUGUAUUGUGAAUUGCAGAUUUUCGUGAAUCAUCAAAUCUUUGAACGCACAUUGCGCCCUCUGGUAUUCCAGGGGGCAUGCCUGUUUGAGCGUCAUUUCUCUCUCAAACCUUUGGGUUUGGUAGUGAGUGAUACUCGUCUCGGGUUAACUUGAAAGUGGCUAGCCGUUGCCAUCUGCGUGAGCAGGGCUGCGUGUCAAGUCUAUGGACUCGACUCUUGCACAUCUACGUCUUAGGUUUGCGCCAAUUCGUGGUAAGCUUGGGUCAUAGAGACUCAUAGGUGUUAUAAAGACUCGCUGGUGUUUGUCUCCUUGAGGCAUACGGCUUUAACCAAAACUCUCAAAGUUUGACCUCAAAUCAGGUAGGAGUACCCGCUGAACUUAAGCAUAUCAAUAAGCGGAGGA